Molecule: ribosomal RNA, 476 nt
Filed under: Thinophilus sp. 7 SNK-2009
Lineage: Eukaryota; Metazoa; Arthropoda; Insecta; Diptera; Dolichopodidae
Description: partial 16S ribosomal RNA
Rfam family: Bacterial large subunit ribosomal RNA
Source: RNAcentral
AUUUAUUGAAGGGCCGCAGUAUUCUGACUGUGCAAAGGUAGCAUAAUCAUUAGUCUUUUAAUUGAGGGCUUGUAUGAAUGAUUGGACGAGAUAUAAACUGUCUCAAUUGAUGAUUUAGAAUUUUAUUUUUUAGUUAAAAAGCUAAAAUUUAUUUAAAAGACGAGAAGACCCUAUAGAUCUUUAUAAUAAAAUUAAUUUAGUAUUAUUUGGUUAAUUUUUAUCUAUAUUAAUUUUAUUAUUAUAUUGGGGUGAUAUUGAAAUUUAUGAAACUUUCAAUUAUUAUUUACAUUAAUUUAUGAAUUAUUGAUCCAGUAUUAUUGAUUAAAAAUUUAAGUUACCUUAGGGAUAACAGCGUAAUUAUUUUGGAGAGUUCUUAUCGAUAAAAUAGAUUGCGACCUCGAUGUUGGAUUAAGAUUAAUUCUAGGCGCAGUAGUUUAGAAUAUUAAGUCUGUUCGACUUUUAAUUUCUUACAUGAU